RNAcentral lists this long non-coding RNA (2932 nucleotides) under Homo sapiens (human). RNAcentral's name for it is "HSALNT0026250". The record is from RNAcentral. Lineage: Eukaryota; Metazoa; Chordata; Mammalia; Primates; Hominidae.
CUCCACCCCACAACUGCCUCACAAGCAUCCCAGAGUCCAGUCAGCAGACAGCAGAAGAGACUGUCAGCAGACCACCUUGGAGGGGAUGCUUGGAGCUGCCUAACGUGUGAUUCAAAGAUGAAUUCCAUGUGUUUGGAGAAGAAGCCCUAGCCUCAACACAAAGGUUGGCCACAUUCCAGCCAAGGUAGCACGGAGUGAAGGCCCGUGGAGGGAGAGCUGGGCUUUUCUGAACUACUUCAGUACACCUUGCUGUGCCUUGGCCUGCCGUGUUUCAUCCCCAUGGCUGUCCUCAGUGAUGUGCAUGGUCACUGCUCCCUUCACCACUGAGAAGACGGGCACAGGACAGUCAGGGGAUGUGUCCAAGGUCCCACAGCAGGAAGGGCUGGAGCCAGAAUGUGGUCUGAGAGGCUGGAUAUACAAAGAGACAAUGGCAUGACCAUCUGUACAAAUGGAACUAUGGCCCACAACCUGCAGCAGCCAGCCCAGGAAGCCAACCCGUCACCUGCAGCAGCCAGGAUGGAUGCUGGCCUGCCCUCAGUUGUACUCACAUCAUUGGUCUUAUGGGGAAAUUUUAAGACCUCCCACUUGUAAGGUUUUAUAGCCCUCUAUGGAAUAUUGAAGAAAGAGUAAAAUGCAUCCAAAAAAAAAAAAAAACACUAAACUGGAUAAAUUCUAAGGCCUCUUCAGGUCUUAAGAUGGCCAUUUUCUAGGUCCUCUUGCUGCAGCAGUGAAAUCCACAAACACGGACAAGUCAGUCAGUUACGUGCCUUUCAGAGAAAACUUCUGACUUAGGAAUUCCAGCUAUUUGGCCCAACCCAUAUUAGAUUGUGUUAUAAAGACAUGGUAAAUUACAUCACGAAGGGAAGAGCAGAGGAAACAUAAUAUUCCUUCAAGACCCAUCAGCUCAGAUGUUAGCAGAACACCCCUAAGGAGGAAAACAAGAAAUUUUGGGUUUGAACUUGGUACUUCCCAGCAGCCCUGGGAGUGGGGUCAGAAGCCCUGCUGGGGGCCAAAGAACUCUGAGGAUCAAAGAUGUUGAGCAUCACCUUAGAGGCCAAAGAUCAGAACAGUGGAGGUGGCCUUUGAAGCCCAACCUGUCUUUCACCAGAGAGUGAGAACGGCCUCUAUUUCCAGGAAGCUCACUGCAGCAAUAAUCAUGAUGCUCUGAGCCUGACAAGGUGAGAAUUUACUUUCAGCACCUGCAAUAGUUUCCUAUUAAAGUUACAUAUGAAACCCUGCCGUCUUGUACCAACUAAUGUUCACACCAGCGUUCCUAUUUUCAAGAUAAAUUGCAAAAUAAAAACUCUUGUUUUCGUUAGCAAAAGAAAACUUCUUUAGGAGGAUAAAAGGGAGAUGAAGAAACAGAAAACACAUCAGCUCUCCAUCCAGAUUACAGAAAGCAGAAAACAUCCUGAAGUGAAUAACAUAGGAAUCGCUCUUUUUCCCCCCUGAGAUAGCAGGUUACUUAUGAGAAACAAGCUUGAAAUCUCUGCACCUGGACCAGCUUCCAGAGGCUUUUGUCCUGACCAGCUGGCUUUGGGGAAGUAAAGGAAACCAGAGAAGAAGAGGCUGAAAGAAUUGGUUUCCACCGUGACCUUUGAACCCUCGGGCGAGUUGUCAGCCUCACUGAGGAUGAGUGUACUCCAUAUCAAGUGAGGUCACUUUACUCGCAAGCUUGUUGUGAGGACUGAAUGAAACCUUUUCUUUUUUCUUGGAGUUUCAGAGCAACGUCCCUGAGCCCAGCCCCACACUGGCUUGAGCCCUGUCGUCGGUCAAGACACGGUGCUUUCUCCCCUCCCCUCUGCACUCCAGCUUACUCUGCAGUCAGGAGGUGGCACCACGAUCCCCUUUAAGACUUUGCCACUUGGGCCAGCUGCGCCCCUGUGAAAUUCCCUGUUUCUAUUGCAGGCCACAAGGACGAGCUGAGAAAUGGCUUCCAGUCACCAUCUAGAUUAGAAAGCCUAUAUUUCAAAUAUAGAUAUAUCAAUUAUGCCUGUAAAAAGACAUUAAAUCCCACAGGGCUGUAAUUCCUAGACUCUACGAAUUUCAUCUUGCACCAAAUUUUAUUAUUUCAUUUAUAAUUCGGAUUCUUCAAAUCUAAGAGUGCCUGGCUCAAAAUUAAAAUACCUACAACUAUGCCAAAACUGGACUCUUUAAUUGCCUUACUGGAACCAGUAGCUGAUUCAAAGCAAAACGAAACAAAAUUCCUCCUUUCUCUGAUUUAGUGAAUCAAUGAUCUAACUGAACUCAUUUUUGGACUGAGUUUGCGGCACUUGCAGCCCUGAGGGACACAUUCCCCCACCACACUGAGCCUGCACUCCCAUCAAUGCAAAUGAACAUUUUGCUUAUUCAGAUUGGGGGGGUGAAGGAAGUCACAAAAGGGUUAAUACAUAUGGCAUUUCAUUGUAAUAUGUACUCACUACUAACUAAAUUAAAAGAGAUGUGAGUUAUUAAAAACUCCAUCUUAAGAAAGUAACAGAAAUCAGAGUUCAGAUUCGUUGUUACUGAGUUUCCAACCAACACCUGUGAGUUAAACCUACGGCCACCCUGAAAACGGUUCAUAUUUUCAAAAGCUUCAUCGAAGAUGAGCUGCACUAAAGAUUCAUAUUACAUAUCAUGCUGCAAUAAGAAAAUCAAAUAAGGCCUUUCCAUAUUCAAUAAUAAAGUUUAAAGAAAAGUAAUAUUUGUUUAGCCAGUUAGCCAGAAAUUAGAUGUAUCAGAAUACAUCAUUCUUUGAGCAUUUUAGAAAAAUCAGGGUAUUUCUACAUUGUGUUUUUCUUUGUAAGCCCUCAAAAAAUAUAGAGAAUAUUCUUGAAAUUAUAGUGUUUGUCUUCUGGAACAAAAAAUACUAAUCAAGGAAAUCUACAAAUUUAAUGGUUUAUUGAGUUUCCACAGGAAACACUGUGUGAGGAGGCUGAGGCUUAGAAGUUCA